AGUAUUAUAGUUUUAAAGUGCUAUCAAAGCGUUAUUAGGAGCGCGUUUAAUACCCUUUAAAAUCAUUUGAUAAAAAUCAAAACCUAUAAAAAUGAGAACUAGAAUUGGAGUUAUAAUGAG
This 120-nucleotide antisense RNA is filed under the name Helicobacter pylori J99. RNAcentral describes it as "Bacterial antisense RNA HPnc0260". It matches the Rfam family "Bacterial antisense RNA HPnc0260", at positions 1 to 121 of the family's 156-position model. Lineage: Bacteria; Pseudomonadati; Campylobacterota; Epsilonproteobacteria; Campylobacterales; Helicobacteraceae. The record is from Rfam by way of RNAcentral.